Coregonus clupeaformis (lake whitefish) is the source of this 184-nucleotide long non-coding RNA. RefSeq lists it as uncharacterized. Lineage: Eukaryota; Metazoa; Chordata; Actinopteri; Salmoniformes; Salmonidae. The record is from RefSeq and is a predicted model, not a curated record. The transcript has 3 exons.
AUGAAAGAGGAGAAUGGCAUUGGCAUUUCUCUACAAGUAGGCUUGAAGAUCAUGCCUUUGUACAGAGACGGAAACUGGUACAAAAUACCACAAAAGAUGGACUGCAAGGCUAUAAUAGACAUCUCCCACGUUAUUCUGGUUUUAAGAGAAUUUGGCAGUACGUCCAACCGGCCUCACAACCACA